RNAcentral lists this ribosomal RNA (365 nucleotides) under uncultured eukaryote. RNAcentral describes it as "partial 18S ribosomal RNA". It matches the Rfam family "Eukaryotic small subunit ribosomal RNA", at positions 592 to 975 of the family's 1831-position model. The record is from RNAcentral.
CAAUAGCGUAUAUUAACGUUGUUGCAGUUAAAAAGCUCGUAGUUGGAUUUCUGGAGGGAGCGUCGGCCCGUAUUUACGAGUGCGUGACGUCUCUGUCCAUCCUUGCGGGAAGGCACGGCAUUGAUUUGUUGUGUCGGAUCGCAUCAUUUACUGUGAAAAAAUUAGAGUGUUCAAAGCAGGCUUUCGCUUGAAUACAUUAGCAUGGAAUAAUAAGAUAGGACUUUGGUGCUGUUUUGUUGGUUGAGCCUAAAGUAAUGAUUAAUAGGGAUAGUUGGGGGCACCUGUAUUGCGUUGUCAGAGGUGAAAUUCUUGGAUUUACGCAAGACAAACAGCUGCGAANGNGUCUGGNAAGGAUGUUUNCAUUA